ACAUGCAAGUCGAACGGAAAGAGGUACNUUGCUACUGNUCUUAGCUGGCGNACGGGUGAGUAAUGCUUAGGAAUNUGCCGAUUAGUGGGGGANAACAUUUCGAAAGGAAUGCUAAUACCGCAUACGUCCUACGGGAGAAAGCAGGGGAUCUUCGGACCUNGCGCUAAUAGAUNAGCCUAAGUCNGAUUAGCUAGUUGGUGGGGUAAAGGCCUACCAAGGCGACGAUCUGUAGCGGGUCUGAGAGGAUGAUCCGCCACACUGGGGACUGAGACACGGCCCAAACUCCUACGGGAGGCAGCAGUGGGGANUAUUGGACAAUGGGCGCAAGCCUGAUCCAGCCAUGCCGCGUGUGUGAAGAAGGCCUUAUGGUUGUAAAGCACUUUAGNCGAG
Molecule: ribosomal RNA, 390 nt
Filed under: Acinetobacter sp. T13
Lineage: Bacteria; Pseudomonadati; Pseudomonadota; Gammaproteobacteria; Moraxellales; Moraxellaceae
Description: partial 16S ribosomal RNA
Rfam family: Bacterial small subunit ribosomal RNA
Source: RNAcentral